This 468-nucleotide ribosomal RNA is filed under the name uncultured bacterium. RNAcentral describes it as "partial 16S ribosomal RNA". It matches the Rfam family "Bacterial small subunit ribosomal RNA", at positions 28 to 507 of the family's 1533-position model. The record is from RNAcentral.
GACGAACGCUGGCGGCGCGCCUAACACAUGCAAGUCGAACGGAGUCAAGAGGAGCUUGCUUUUCUUGACUUAGUGGCGCACGGGUGAGUAACGCGUGAGUAACCUGCCCUGGAGUGGGGGACAACAGUUGGAAACGACUGCUAAUACCGCAUAAGCCCACGGAUCUGCAUGGAUCUGCGGGAAAAGGAUUUAUUCGCUCUAGGAUGGACUCGCGUCCAAUUAGCUAGUUGGUGAGGUGACGGCCCACCAAGGCGACGAUUGGUAGCCGGACUGAGAGGUUGACCGGCCACAUUGGGACUGAGACACGGCCCAGACUCCUACGGGAGGCAGCAGUGGGGGAUAUUGCACAAUGGGGGAAACCCUGAUGCAGCGACGCCGCGUGGAGGAAGAAGGUUUUCGGAUUGUAAACUCCUGUCGUUAGGGACGAUAAUGACGGUACCUAACAAGAAAGCACCGGCUAACUACGUG